AGUAAAAGUCGUAACAAGGUCUCCGUAGGUGAACCUGCGGAGGGAUCAUUACCGAGUGAGGGCGCCCCGGCGCCCGACCUCCCAACCCUUUGUCGAACUUACCUUGUUGCCUCGGGGCGCACCCUUCGCGGGCGGCCCCAGAGGACCAACCAUCAAAACCCUGCGUCCCUGCGUCGGAGUACCUUUGAUAAAUCAAUCAAAACUUUCAACAACGGAUCUCUUGGUUCUGGCAUCGAUGAAGAACGCAGCGAAAUGCGAUAAGUAAUGUGAAUUGCAGAAUUCAGUGAAUCAUCGAAUCUUUGAACGCACAUUGCGCCCCUUGGUAUUCCGGGGGGCAUGCCCGUUCGAGCGUCAUUACACCACUCAAGCCUCGCUUGGUCUUGGGCGGCGGGCUCUGCGCCCGCGCCUUCAAAUCUGCCGGCUGGACGGUUGGAAUCUCAGCGUUGUGAAUCAAAUUCGCUCGGAUCUCCGGCCGGACGCGCCGUUCAAAUUUCUAUUCAGGUUGACCUCGGAUCGGGUAGGGAUACCCGCUGAACUUAAGCAUAUCAAUAAGCGGAGGAAAAGAAACCAACAGGGAUUGCCCCAGUAACG
Molecule: ribosomal RNA, 591 nt
Filed under: uncultured fungus
Lineage: Eukaryota; Fungi
Description: eukaryotic LSU rRNA
Rfam family: 5.8S ribosomal RNA (bases 201-354)
Source: RNAcentral